UCAAAAACUUUUGUGCAUCGUACACCAAAAUAUA
RNAcentral lists this transfer RNA (34 nucleotides) under Musca domestica (house fly). RNAcentral's name for it is "partial tRNA-Gln". Lineage: Eukaryota; Metazoa; Arthropoda; Insecta; Diptera; Muscidae. The record is from RNAcentral.